This is a long non-coding RNA of Prunus dulcis (almond), 976 nucleotides long. RefSeq lists it as uncharacterized. The record is from RefSeq and is a predicted model, not a curated record. The transcript has 8 exons. NCBI's taxonomy places the organism in Eukaryota, Viridiplantae, Streptophyta, Magnoliopsida, Rosales, Rosaceae.
GUUCACAUCCACGAGAUGUUCACAUAUUAACUGGUGAAAAUAAUUGAACAGAGAAAAUCCAAUGAUGCAGAAGUCGAGUCACUGCGAUAGGAAUACCAUCAAAGGGUUGCAACACUUGAAAGGAAGGUAGGUCUUCUCAUAAAGUCUUGUUUAUAAUCGUGCUUGGAUUGAUCUAGGUGUUAUAUGUGCCCGUUAUGUUUUUGAUGAAAUUGGUACUUGCCUAUUUUUAAUUCAGCUCCUGAUAAUUGGAGGGGCUAUGCCAACUUAUGAUUGCAGGUGUAUGCUCUUACAAAGGAAAGGGACACGCUUUGGCGGGAGCAGAAUAAGAAAAGUGAUGCAGCUGCUCUUCUGAAGGAAAAGGAUGAAAUAAUUAAUCAAGUUAUGGCUGAAGCUGAAGAGCUUUCAAAAAAGCAGGCUGCUCAAGAAGGACAGAUUAGGAAAUUAAGGGCUCAGAUCAGAGAGUUUGAAGAAGAGAAGAAAGGGUUGAUUACUAAACUUCAGCAUAUUGAAGAGCAAUUUGGUUGUGGUCGUCUAUUGGCUUGUAUCUCAUCACGACCUGGACAGUGGCUGUGCUGAUGGGAUGGGAAAACAUUGGACAAUGAGUUGGAGGUUGUUGAGGGAAUGAAGCUAGACAGGGGCUACAUAUCCCCUUAUUUCAUCACCAACCAGAACAAUCAGAAAUGUGAAUUGGAAAAUCCUCUAAUCAUAAUCCAUGAGAAGAAAAUCUCAAGUAUUAAUGAUGUGGUUAAAGUAUUGGAGUUGGUUUUGCAGUUAUGAUUUCAGAUCUGUAGAUAACCUGUUGUUGCUGAUAUUGCUACACGGGAGGAGAACAGAACAACUUGGAAAAUGUGCAAGAAGGGAGAGCUAACUCAUACAACGAAGAACAAAUUGAUGAAGUUAAGAUCAAAUUAGUAGAAUUUGUGAGCUCUCCAUUAUUUAUAAUUAUAGGUAGGAAGUAUGUAUGUAAUAGAGUAAA